This 229-nucleotide ribosomal RNA is filed under the name uncultured bacterium. RNAcentral describes it as "partial 16S ribosomal RNA". It matches the Rfam family "Bacterial small subunit ribosomal RNA", at positions 568 to 796 of the family's 1533-position model. The record is from RNAcentral.
CGUGUAGGCGGCUAGAUAAGUCAGAUGUGAAAGCCCUGGGCUUAACCCAGGAAGUGCAUUUGAAACUGUCUGGAUAGAGUAGGGGAGAGGAAAGUGGAAUUCCUGGUGUAGAGGUGAAAUUCGUAGAUAUCAGGAGGAACACCGGUGGCGAAGGCGACUUUCUGGCCCUAUACUGACGCUGAGACGCGAAAGCGUGGGUAGCGAACAGGAUUAGAUACCCUGGUAGUCC